Molecule: ribosomal RNA, 111 nt
Organism: Fukomys damarensis (Damara mole-rat)
Lineage: Eukaryota; Metazoa; Chordata; Mammalia; Rodentia; Bathyergidae
Source: Ensembl
AUCUAUGGCCACACCAGCCUGAAUGCAGCCAAUCUCAACUGCUCUUGGAAGCUAAGCAGGGGUUGGGACUGGUCAAUACUUGGAUGGGAGAAAAUCCAGCAUCCAUUCAUU